GACGAACGCUGGCGGCGUGCCUAAUACAUGCAAGUUGAGCGCUGAAGGUUGGUACUUGUACCAACUGGAUGAGCAGCGAACGGGUGAGUAACGCGUGGGGAAUCUGCCUUUGAGCGGGGGACAACAUUUGGAAACGAAUGCUAAUACCGCAUAAAAACUUUAAACACAAGUUUUAAGUUUGAAAGAUGCAAUUGCACCACUCAAAGAUGAUCCCGCGUUGUAUUAGCUAGUUGGUGAGGUAAAGGCUCACCAAGGCGAUGAUACAUAGCCGACCUGAGAGGGUGAUCGGCCACAUGGGGACUGAGACACGGCCCAAACUCCUACGGGAGGCAGCAGUAGGGAAUCUUCGGCAAUGGACGAAAGUCUGACCGAGCAACGCCGCGUGAGUGAAGAAGGUUUUCGGAUCGUAAAACUCUGUUGGUAGAGAAGAACGUUGGUGAGAGUGGAAAGCUCAUCAAGUGACGGUAACUACACAGAAAGGGACGGCUAACUACGUG
RNAcentral lists this ribosomal RNA (497 nucleotides) under uncultured bacterium. Its description in RNAcentral is "partial 16S ribosomal RNA". It matches the Rfam family "Bacterial small subunit ribosomal RNA", at positions 28 to 507 of the family's 1533-position model. The record is from RNAcentral.